UAUCUCAUAAACAAAAGUGCAUUCAUCCCUGGACGGAUUAUUUCUGAUAAUUCCAUUAUUGCCUUCGAGUGUAUUCAUUACAUUCAAUCUUUAAAGCAUAAUUCUCAUGCAUGUUGUGCUUAUAAAUUGGAUCUCUUGAAGGCAUAUGAUCAUGUGGAUUGGGAUUUCUUGGAGAAGGCUUUAAUCAAAUGGGGCUUCUCCCUGCAGUGGAUUUCUUGGAUUAUGUCGUGUGUAUCCUCGGUGAAAUAUUAUGUCAAGUUCAAUGGUAAACUUUUAAGUACAUUUACCUCAUCCAGGGGCCUCCGACAAGGUGAUCCAUUGUCUCCUUUCUUAUGA
This 336-nucleotide ribosomal RNA is filed under the name Triticum aestivum (bread wheat). RNAcentral's name for it is "partial small subunit ribosomal RNA". Lineage: Eukaryota; Viridiplantae; Streptophyta; Magnoliopsida; Poales; Poaceae. The record is from RNAcentral.